Molecule: ribosomal RNA, 670 nt
Filed under: uncultured Alphaproteobacteria bacterium
Lineage: Bacteria; Pseudomonadati; Pseudomonadota; Alphaproteobacteria
Description: bacterial SSU rRNA
Rfam family: Bacterial small subunit ribosomal RNA
Source: RNAcentral
CGAGCGCAUCCUUCGGGAUGAGCGGCGGACGGGUGAGUAACGCGUGGGAAUGUGCCCUUCUCUACGGAAUAGCCACUGGAAACGGUGAGUAAUACCGUAUACGCCCUCAGGGGGAAAGAUUUAUCGGAGAAGGAUCAGCCCGCGUUAGAUUAGGUAGUUGGUGGGGUAACGGCCUACCAAGCCUACGAUCUAUAGCUGGUUUUAGAGGAUGAUCAGCCACACUGGGACUGAGACACGGCCCAGACUCCUACGGGAGGCAGCAGUAGGGAAUCUUGGACAAUGGGGGCAACCCUGAUCCAGCCAUGCCGCGUGAGUGAAGAAGGCCCUAGGGUCGUAAAGCUCUUUCGCCUGUGAUGAUAAUGACAGUAGCAGGUAAAGAAACCCCGGCUAACUCCGUGCCAGCAGCCGCGGUAAUACGGAGGGGGUUAGCGUUGUUCGGAAUUACUGGGCGUAAAGCGCGCGUAGGCGGAUUGGAAAGUUGGGGGUGAAAUCCCGGGGCUCAACCCCGGAACUGCCUUCAAAACUCCCAGUCUAGAGUUCGAGAGAGGUGAGUGGAAUUCCGAGUGUAGAGGUGAAAUUCGUAGAUAUUCGGAAGAACACCAGUGGCGAAGGCGGCUCACUGGCUCGAUACUGACGCUGAGGUGCGAAAGUGUGGGGAGCAAACAGGAUU